This 74-nucleotide transfer RNA is filed under the name Flavisolibacter sp. Its description in RNAcentral is "tRNA-Pro". It matches the Rfam family "tRNA". From Rfam's summary of the family: Transfer RNA (tRNA) molecules are approximately 80 nucleotides in length. Their secondary structure includes four short double-helical elements and three loops (D, anti-codon, and T loops). The record is from RNAcentral. Lineage: Bacteria; Pseudomonadati; Bacteroidota; Chitinophagia; Chitinophagales; Chitinophagaceae.
CGGGUGGUGGCGCAGCCCGGUAGCGCACUAGGCUGGGGGUCUAGGGGUCGCAAGUUCGAAUCUUGUCCACCCGA